This 252-nucleotide ribosomal RNA is filed under the name uncultured prokaryote. RNAcentral's name for it is "partial 16S rRNA". It matches the Rfam family "Bacterial small subunit ribosomal RNA", at positions 525 to 775 of the family's 1533-position model. The record is from RNAcentral.
ACAGAGGGGGCAAGCGUUAUUCGGAAUUACUGGGAGUAAAGGGUGCGUAGGCGGUGUGUUAAGUGAGAUGUGAAAUCCCGGAGCUCAACUCGGGAACUGCAUCUGAUACUGCGAGGCUAGAGUAUUGGAGAGGAGGAUGGAAUUCCCGGUGUAUGAGUUAAAUCUCCAGAUAUCGAGAUGAACACCCGUAGAGAAAGCGAGCCACCGGUUCAAUACUGACCCUUAGUGCGCGAAAGUUAGUGGAGCAAACAG